GUCCAGACUUUGAUCCUGGCUCAGGAUGAACGCUAGCUACAGGCUUAACACAUGCAAGUCGAGGGGAAACGACAUCGAAAGCUUGCUUUUGAUGGGCGUCGACCGGCGCACGGGUGAGUAACGCGUAUCCAACCUGCCCAUCACUUGGGGAUAACCUUGCGAAAGUAAGACUAAUACCCAAUGAUAUCUCAAGAAGACAUCCGAAUGAGAUUAAAGACUUAUCGGUGAUGGAUGGGGAUGCGUCUGAUUAGCUUGUUGGCGGGGUAACGGCCCACCAAGGCGACGAUCAGUAGGGGUUCUGAGAGGAAGGUCCCCCACAUUGGAACUGAGACACGGUCCAAACUCCUACGGGAGGCAGCAGUGGGGAAUAUUGGUCAAUGGACGAGAGUCUGAACCAGCCAAGUAGCGUGCAGGAUGACGGCCCUAUGGGUUGUAAACUGCUUUUAUAAGGGAAUAAAGUGAGCCUCGUGAGGCUUUUUGCAUGUACCUUAUGAAUAAGGACCGGCUAAUUCCGUGCCAGCAGCCGCGGUAAUACGGAAGGUCCGGGCGUUAUCCGGAUUUAUUGGGUUUAAAGGGAGCGUAGGCCGGAGAUUAAGCGUGUUGUGAAAUGUAGAUGCUCAACAUCUGCACUGCAGCGCGAACUGGUUUCCUUGAGUACGCACAAAGUGGGCGGAAUUCGUGGUGUAGCGGUGAAAUGCUUAGAUAUCACGAAGAACUCCGAUUGCGAAGGCAGCUCACUGGAGCGCAACUGACGCUGAAGCUCGAAAGUGCGGGUAUCGAACAGGAUUAGAUACCCUGGUAGUCCGCACGGUAAACGAUGGAUGCCCGCUGUUGGUCUGAAUAGGUCAGCGGCCAAGCGAAAGCAUUAAGCAUCCCACCUGGGGAGUACGCCGGCAACGGUGC
Molecule: ribosomal RNA, 903 nt
Filed under: uncultured Bacteroidota bacterium
Lineage: Bacteria; Pseudomonadati; Bacteroidota
Description: bacterial SSU rRNA
Rfam family: Bacterial small subunit ribosomal RNA
Source: RNAcentral